This 516-nucleotide ribosomal RNA is filed under the name uncultured bacterium. Its description in RNAcentral is "bacterial SSU rRNA". It matches the Rfam family "Bacterial small subunit ribosomal RNA", at positions 31 to 518 of the family's 1533-position model. The record is from RNAcentral.
GAACGCUGGCGGCGUGCCUAAUACAUGCAAGUCGAACGGCUUUUCUAUGGAAGCUUGCUUCCACUGAGAAGAUAGUGGCGAACGGGUGAGUAACACGUGGGUAACCUGCCCAUAAGAGGGGGGAUAACAUCCGGAAACGGGUGCUAAUACCGCAUAGUUUUCUUGAUCGCAUGAUCGGGAAAGGAAAGACGGCCUUUGUGCUGUCGCUUAUGGAUGGACCCGCGGCGUAUUAGUUAGUUGGUGAGGUAACGGCUCACCAAGACGAUGAUACGUAGCCGACCUGAGAGGGUGAUCGGCCACAUUGGGACUGAGACACGGCCCAAACUCCUACGGGAGGCAGCAGUAGGGAAUCUUCCGCAAUGGACGAAAGUCUGACGGAGCAACGCCGCGUGAGUGAAGAAGGUUUUUCCGGAUCGUAAAACUCUGUUGUCAGAGAAGAACAAGUUGGAGAGUAACUGCUCCAGCCUUGACGGUAUCUGACCAGAAAGCCACGGCUAACUACGUGCCAGCAGCCGC